CCUACGGGAGGCAGCAGUGGGGAAUAUUGCGCAAUGGGGGGAACCCUGACGCAGCCAUGCCGCGUGAAUGAAGAAGGCCUUCGGGUUGUAAAGUUCUUUCGGUAUUGAGGAAGGAGUGUAUGUUAAUAGCUUACAUUAUUGACGUUAAAUACAGAAGAAGCACCGGCUAACUCCGUGCCAGCAGCCGCGGUAAUACGGAGGGUGCGAGCGUUAAUCGGAAUAACUGGGCGUAAAGGGCACGCAGGCGGUUAUUUAAGUGAGGUGUGAAAGCCCCGGGCUUAACCUGGGAAUUGCAUUGCAGACUGGAUCGCUAGAGUGCUUUAGGGGGGAGUAGAAUUCCACGUGUAGCGGUGAAAUGCGUAGAGAUGUGGAGGAAUACCGAAGGCGAAGGCAGCCCCUUGGGAAUGUACUGACGCUCAUGUGCGAAAGCGUGGGGAGCAAACAGGAUUAGAUACCCGGGUAGUC
Molecule: ribosomal RNA, 465 nt
Filed under: uncultured Haemophilus sp.
Lineage: Bacteria; Pseudomonadati; Pseudomonadota; Gammaproteobacteria; Pasteurellales; Pasteurellaceae
Description: bacterial SSU rRNA
Rfam family: Bacterial small subunit ribosomal RNA
Source: RNAcentral